GAGGAAAAGAAACCAACAGGGAUUGCCUCAGUAACGGCGAGUGAAGCGGCAACAGCUCAAAUUUGAAAUCUGGCCUCACGGUCCGAGUUGUAAUUUGUAGAGGAUGCUUUUGGCGAGGUGCUUUCCGAGUUCCCUGGAACGGGACGCCAUAGAGGGUGAGAGCCCCGUACGGUAAGACCACCGAGCCUCUGUAAAGCUCCUUCGACGAGUCGAGUAGUUUGGGAAUGCUGCUCUAAAUGGGAGGUGUACGUCUUCUAAAGCUAAAUACCGGCCAGAGACCGAUAGCGCACAAGUAGAGUGAUCGAAAGAUGAAAAGCACUUUGAAAAGAGGGUUAAAAAGUACGUGAAAUUGUUGAAAGGGAAGCAUUCAUGACCAGACUUGGGCUUGGUUGAACAUCCGGCGUUCUCGCCGGUGCACUCUGCCAGUCCAGGCCAGCAUCAGUUUGCCCCGGGGGACAAAGGCGGUGGGAAUGUGGCUCUCUUCGGGGAGUGUUAUAGCCCGCCGUGUAAUGCCCUGGGGUGGACUGAGGAACGCGCUUCGGCACGGAUGCUG
This 553-nucleotide ribosomal RNA is filed under the name Sarocladium strictum. Its description in RNAcentral is "partial large subunit ribosomal RNA". It matches the Rfam family "Eukaryotic large subunit ribosomal RNA", at positions 53 to 628 of the family's 3401-position model. Lineage: Eukaryota; Fungi; Ascomycota; Sordariomycetes; Hypocreales; Sarocladiaceae. The record is from RNAcentral.